CCUACGGGAGGCAGCAGUAGGGAAUCUUCCACAAUGGGCGAAAGCCUGAUGGAGCAACGCCGCGUGGGUGAAGAAGGUCUUCGGAUCGUAAAACCCUGUUGUUAGAGAAGAAAGUGCGUGAGAGUAACUGUUCACGUUUCGACGGUAUCUAACCAGAAAGCCACGGCUAACUACGUGCCAGCAGCCGCGGGAAUACGUAGGUGGCAAGCGUUAUCCGGAUUUAUUGGGCGUAAAGGGAACGCAGGCGGUCUUUUAAGUCUGAUGUGAAAGCCUUCGGCUUAACCGGAGUAGUGCAUUGGAAACUGGGAGACGUGAGUGCAGAAGAGGAGAGUGGAACUCCAGGUGUAGCGGUGAAAUGCGUAGAUAGAUGGAAGAACAGCAGUGGCGAAAGCGGCUCUCUGGUCUGUAACUGACGCUGAGGUUCGAAAGCGUGGGUAGCAAACAGGAUUAGAUACCCCAGUAGUC
This 465-nucleotide ribosomal RNA is filed under the name uncultured bacterium. RNAcentral's name for it is "partial 16S ribosomal RNA". It matches the Rfam family "Bacterial small subunit ribosomal RNA", at positions 338 to 795 of the family's 1533-position model. The record is from RNAcentral.